Molecule: long non-coding RNA, 454 nt
Organism: Lathyrus oleraceus (garden pea)
Lineage: Eukaryota; Viridiplantae; Streptophyta; Magnoliopsida; Fabales; Fabaceae
Exons: 3
Source: RefSeq, a predicted model, not a curated record
CCCAAGAUUGGCUCAAAGGAACAUCUUCCUCUUUGAUUACAAAUGAAGAUUUUGAUAUUCUUGAGAGAUUUGAGCAAGAAUUACUUUAUACGGAAGAUGGUGCUAGUUGUUCAACCUCUUCAACUUCUGUUACACUCGAAGAUGAUUUAACGCAUUAAGCUUAUUGUAGAAGAAGCUGAUUAAUUGCUUAUGGAACUAGAAGUGAAGAGAUGAAAACAAGGAUGGAAUGAAGAGAUGAAAACAAGGAUGGAAAGCCUUUUCUCAACAUCAUCAAUUUGAUUGGAAGAUCAUUCUUCAUUUUAGAUUAACCAUGCAUACAGUGUUUUUAUAUACACAGAAAAAUUAUAAUUUAGAAUGUAAGCAAACAAUUUUCUGUUAUGUGCAAAUCACUUUUUUGUUGCUACUAACAAAUCUUUUGCUUUAAUUAGACUAACACUCAAGAGAUUCUUAUCUA